AAAGUCGAGGACAACGAUCUCAUAUCGCAGCUCCUCUCAGGAUUGGAUGAGGAUUAUAAUCUGUUUGUUCUAUCCAUUGCAGCAAGAACUGAUGCCUACUCCCUGAGCGAACUCUAUGCUCAAAUUCUUGCCUUCGAAG
Molecule: small nucleolar RNA, 139 nt
Organism: Lolium rigidum
Lineage: Eukaryota; Viridiplantae; Streptophyta; Magnoliopsida; Poales; Poaceae
Product: small nucleolar RNA Z247
Exons: 1
Source: RefSeq, a predicted model, not a curated record